This 253-nucleotide ribosomal RNA is filed under the name uncultured bacterium. Its description in RNAcentral is "partial 16S ribosomal RNA". It matches the Rfam family "Bacterial small subunit ribosomal RNA", at positions 524 to 776 of the family's 1533-position model. The record is from RNAcentral.
CACGUAGGGCGCAAGCGUUGUCCGGAAUUAUUGGGCGUAAAGAGCUCGUAGGCGGUCUGUUGCGUCCGCUGUGAAAACUCGGGGCUUAACCCCGAGCCUGCAGUGGAUACGGGCAGACUAGAGUGCUGUAGGGGAGACUGGAAUUCCUGGUGUAGCGGUGAAAUGCGCAGAUAUCAGGAGGAACACCGGUGGCGAAGGCGGGUCUCUGGGCAGUAACUGACGCUGAGGAGCGAAAGCGUGGGGAGCGAACAGG